This 274-nucleotide ribosomal RNA is filed under the name uncultured bacterium. RNAcentral describes it as "partial 16S ribosomal RNA". It matches the Rfam family "Bacterial small subunit ribosomal RNA", at positions 523 to 796 of the family's 1533-position model. The record is from RNAcentral.
AUACGGAGGGCCCAAGCGUUAUCCGGAAUCAUUGGGUUUAAAGGGUCCGCAGGCGGUCAAUUAAGUCAGAGGUGAAAGCCCAUCGCUCAACGAUGGAACUGCCUUUGAUACUGGUUGACUUGAGUUAUACGGAAGUAGAUAGAAUAAGUAGUGUAGCGGUGAAAUGCAUAGAUAUUACUUAGAAUACCGAUUGCGAAGGCAGUCUACUACGUAUAUACUGACGCUGAGGGACGAAAGCGUGGGGAGCGAACAGGAUUAGAAACCCUAGUAGUCC